AAGUCCCCCAAUCAAUUACAUGUAUGGUGCUAUGCACAUGUCCUUCAUCUGGUUUCAUCUGACAACAACUGAAAUUGUCUUGGCGAGUGGGUCACUGUUUUCUCUCCUGAACGACAUUGCUGAUUUACUCCGUGAAUCCUACCAAAGGAUGGAUGUGUGGGAGAAGAAGAGCCAGGACACGAGACACAGAUGCCUAUCUCCAAUCAGAGAAACACGCUGGUGGGCGUAAGGAUAGGGCUUUGACGAAGGUCCUUGGAUCUUUUGGAAAACCAGACCAGGGUCUCUAUGGGGUCUUCUUUUUGGGUUACCAGGUGCCCAAAUCAAAUUACCAGGUGCACGGCUGUGAAAAGUGGGAAUUCCUCAUACUGUCAGCCAUACAAGGACAGGCCAACGUGAAGACAACUGUUCGGGUGAAGGCAAGAGGAUUCACUGAGGCUCUUCUCCGGUAUGAGACGAUACUGACAGCUCAAAUAUAUAUUUGUAUAUUUUAGAACACUAUCCAAAUACCUGCAGACAAGCGGGAGGGACAUCCUGUCUGCCCAUCGAAUGGUUGUGGCUACACAGGAAACCCUGAAAGGCAUGUCAAGAAACUGACACCAUUAAGGCAGCUACAGACACAUUUGUUCCCUUUGCAAAUAAGAUCAAAGAACAGGAUGAGGACACAGAACUGGAGGAGGUGGAAGCCACUCCACAGAAAAGGGCAAGAAAGAACAAAAUCAUGUCUGGAGAGAUGGCUCAAGAGAUAUAGAUAUAUAUAUAUAUAUAUAUAUAUAUAUAUAUAUAUAUAUACUGUAUAUUUUUAUUUUAUAUAUAUAUAUAUAUAUAUAUAUAUAUAUUUUUUUUUUUUUUUUUUUUUUUUUUUUUUACCUGUAUUUAGCAAGGCAAGUGAUUUAAGGAGAAAUUCUUAUUUACAAUGACGACCUACCAAAAGGCAAAAGGCCUCCUACGGGGGCGGGGCAUGGGAUUGAAAAUAAAUACAUAAAUCAAAUAUAAACAUAGGACAAAACACACAUCACAACAAGAGAGACAACACGACAUAAAGAGAGAAUGAUUAAGAUGAAGCUUUGACAGAGGCAGAGAGUGUCUAUAAAGUACAAGACCACAAUGAAAUGAUGGAUACAGUCACAGAUAGUAUCCACAGGUGAUUUCUGUCUCAUGGCUGUCUCUAUAUGCUGACCUAGCCCUUCUGAACCCUGGAAA
Molecule: long non-coding RNA, 1200 nt
Organism: Oncorhynchus tshawytscha (Chinook salmon)
Lineage: Eukaryota; Metazoa; Chordata; Actinopteri; Salmoniformes; Salmonidae
Source: Ensembl